UACGAAGGUGGCAAGCGUUGUUCGGAUUCAUUGGGCGUAAAGGGUGCGUAGGUGGCGCUGUAAGUCGGGUGUGAAAUUUCGGAGCUUAACUCCGAAACUGCAUUCGAUACUGCGGUGCUUGAGGACUGGAGAGGAGACUGGAAUUCAUGGUGUAGCAGUGAAAUGCGUAGAGAUCAUGAGGAAGACCAGUGGCGAAGGCGGGUCUCUGGACAGUUCCUGACACUGAGGCACGAAGGCCAGGGGAGCAAACGGG
Molecule: ribosomal RNA, 253 nt
Filed under: uncultured bacterium
Lineage: Bacteria
Description: partial 16S ribosomal RNA
Rfam family: Bacterial small subunit ribosomal RNA
Source: RNAcentral